AUACGGAGGAUCCGAGCGUUAUCCGGAUUUAUUGGGUUUAAAGGGUGCGCAGGCGGCCAUUUAAGUCAGCGGUUAAAUCGUGGGGCUCAACCCCAUUCUGCCGUUGAUACUGGGUGGCUUGAUUGCGGUCGGGGUUGGCGGAAUUCGUUGUGUAGCGGUGAAAUGCAUAGAUAUGACGAAGAACACCGAUUGCGUAGGCAGCUGACCAGACCGCAAAUGACGCUCAUGCACGAAAGUGCGGGGAUCGAACAGGAUUAGAUACCCUGGUAGUCCGCACAGUAAACGAUGAAUACUUGUUUUCGGCGAUAUAAUGUCGGAGGCAAAGCGAAAGCGAUAAGUAUUCCACCUGGGGAGUACGCCGGCAACGGUGAAACUCAAAGGAAUUGACGGGG
RNAcentral lists this ribosomal RNA (392 nucleotides) under uncultured bacterium. Its description in RNAcentral is "partial 16S ribosomal RNA". It matches the Rfam family "Bacterial small subunit ribosomal RNA", at positions 523 to 918 of the family's 1533-position model. The record is from RNAcentral.